Molecule: ribosomal RNA, 1333 nt
Filed under: metagenome
Description: bacterial SSU rRNA
Rfam family: Bacterial small subunit ribosomal RNA
Source: RNAcentral
AGAGUUUGAUCCUGGCUCAGGAUGAACGCUGGCGGCGUGCUUAACACAUGCAAGUCGAACGAUCCUUCGGGAUAGUGGCGGACGGGUGAGUAACGCGUGGGAAUCUGCCCUCAGGAGGGGGAUAACGGCUGGAAACGGCCGCUAAUACCCCAUAUGCCGAGAGGUGAAAUGAAUUUCGCCUGAGGAUGAGCCCGCGUCUGAUUAGCUAGUCGGUGGGGUAAAGGCCUACCAAGGCAACGAUCAGUAGCUGGUCUGAGAGGAUGAUCAGCCACACUGGGACUGAGACACGGCCCAGACUCCUACGGAAGGCAGCAGUGGGGAAUUUUCCGCAAUGGGCGAAAGCCUGACGGAGCAACGCCGCGUGAGGGAUGAAGGCCUCUGGGCUGUAAACCUCUUUUCUCAAGGAAGAAGACCUGACGGUACUUGAGGAAUAAGCCACGGCUAAUUCCGUGCCAGCAGCCGCGGUAAUACGGGAGUGGCAAGCGUUAUCCGGAAUUAUUGGGCGUAAAGCGUCCGCAGGCGGCCUUGUAAGUCUGUUGUUAAAGCGUGGAGCUCAACUCCAUUUAAGCAAUGGAAACUACAAGGCUGGAGUGUGGUAGGGGCAGAGGGAAUUCCCGGUGUAGCGGUGAAAUGCGUAGAUAUCGGGAAGAACACCAGUGGCGAAGGCGCUCUGCUGGGCCAUAACUGACGCUCAUGGACGAAAGCCAGGGGAGCGAAAGGGAUUAGAUACCCCUGUAGUCCUGGCCGUAAACGAUGAACACUAGGUGUCGGGGGAAUCGACCCCCUCGGUGUCGUAGCCAACGCGUUAAGUGUUCCGCCUGGGGAGUACGCACGCAAGUGUGAAACUCAAAGGAAUUGACGGGGGCCCGCACAAGCGGUGGAGUAUGUGGUUUAAUUCGAUGCAACGCGAAGAACCUUACCUGGGUUUGACAUCCUGCGAACCCCUGAGAAAUCGGGGGGUGCCUUCGGGAGCGCAGAGACAGGUGGUGCAUGGCUGUCGUCAGCUCGUGUCGUGAGAUGUUGGGUUAAGUCCCGCAACGAGCGCAACCCACGUCUUUAGUUGCCAGCAUUCAGUUGGGCACUCUAGAGAGACCGCCGGUGAUAAACCGGAGGAAGGUGUGGAUGACGUCAUGUCAUCAUGCCCCUUACAUCCUGGGCUACACACGUACUACAAUGCUACGGACAAAGGGCAGCAAGCUCGCGAGAGUUAGCAAAUCCCAUAAACCGUGGCUCAGUUCAGAUCGUAGGCUGCAACUCGCCUACGUGAAGGAGGAAUCGCUAGUAAUCGCAGGUCAGCAUACUGCGGUGAAUACGUUCCCGGGCCUUGUACACG